This 256-nucleotide long non-coding RNA is filed under the name Lathyrus oleraceus (garden pea). RNAcentral's name for it is "Pisum sativum (pea) long non-coding RNA (PSAT_LNC033409)". Lineage: Eukaryota; Viridiplantae; Streptophyta; Magnoliopsida; Fabales; Fabaceae. The record is from RNAcentral.
UUUAAAUGAUUUAAAAUUAAAUUGUAAAAAUAAAUUAAAAAUAAAAUGAAACAAAAAUAUUAAUAAAUGCAAAAAUGAUUUAAAAAAAUGUGAGAAAAAUGUAUGUGAUGCAAAAUAUUUUUAGAGACUUUGUGUAAAAAAUUUGGAUAAAAAAUGUUUAGAAAUCAAAGAUAAAUUAAUUUGGAAAUAAGAGAAAUAAAAUAAAAGAAAAGAAAAAGAAAUAAAAUAGAAAAAGGGCGCCAACGGUCAGAAUAUU